Cornus florida is the source of this 106-nucleotide small nucleolar RNA. RefSeq annotates it as small nucleolar RNA snoR109. The transcript has a single exon. Lineage: Eukaryota; Viridiplantae; Streptophyta; Magnoliopsida; Cornales; Cornaceae. The record is from RefSeq and is a predicted model, not a curated record.
CGGCUGUAGCUAUAUUGAUCCAACGGCUGAGAAGUUAACUGGCCGGUUGUUUGAGGUUCCUUCAGAAUCUCCAUCGACAAAUCUGCUUACCGAACUUCUUACAUGU